RNAcentral lists this long non-coding RNA (1028 nucleotides) under Cyanistes caeruleus (blue tit). Its description in RNAcentral is "lncRNA (ENSCCEG00000003080.1)". Lineage: Eukaryota; Metazoa; Chordata; Aves; Passeriformes; Paridae. The record is from RNAcentral.
GUGCUUCUGUAAGAUUUAGUGCCAGGAAGCUACAAAGCUGGGAGCCAGCUCCAAAUACUCCCACAGGUUACUUUACAUCUAGUAAACAGUGGUGUAUAGAAGGACAGUGUGAUUGCAUACUUGCUCUCUGCUGAACCACCACACUCCUCACUUUCCAGCCCUCUGACUCUGAAGCAGCUUUGGGGCUCCACAUGUGGACAGGCAGGAGCUCUGAUUUAUCUGUAAUACUGAAGAUAGGGCUAAAAGGGUUAGCUUGGAUAGACCCUUUGCAUCCUAUGUGGCACAGGCAAAAUUUUUCAGAAUUUCAGCAGUGUUUAACCAAGAAUGAAAUCACCCUGUUUCAUACCAAGCUACUGCAGGACAACCCUUGCUCUGCUCAGCAGGAAGGAGGCUGGUGUUCUUUCCACCUAUGGAUUUGCUCCACAGGGAUAUGGCAUGCUCUUUGGCAGGUCACACCACAGCCCUUGGUCUCACAGGCUAAAGAAAUGUGUAAAGACCCAACAGACAAAAUGAACUAGUGAUACAGCAAAGGUGCCUCUACAGGUCUCUGAGCCUUACCCUAGAAGCAGCUCCAAGGCUAUGGGCCACCUGCCUUCACAGGAAGACCUCUCUGCCUCUUUCAUCCUGCCAUACUGCCCAGGGAGACAGCAGUCUUUUCUCACAUCCUGGGAACUACAUAAGCUGCACUACAAAACCAGACGGCUGUGAGAGAUGUUCACAGGCAUUUGUUGGGAGCCAUUACUUGUGUUUGCCUUGCUACAGGCUCAUGAGCUCACCUAUGCUUGCUUUUGGUCUAGGGCAAACCAUCCACAGCUAUUUCUCUUUCUGUCACAUUACUCCAGAGUGUCCUCAAAGUGAUGGGCUGUGGCUAGAUGCAGAGAACCCCCUGAGUAUCAAAAGCAUUGCUUGACAGACCUGUCACACUCUCUGCUACAUAAACCAGAAUGAAAUGUCUCUGCAAAGGAAGAUUUAGAGAUUGAUGCAAGUUCUGUAAUAAAAUAUAAUAAAAUGUGAAUAGACUCUCUGGG